Balaenoptera ricei (Rice's whale) is the source of this 2554-nucleotide RNA transcript. It is a transcript of the gene named metastasis associated 1 family member 3, with no coding region annotated. Lineage: Eukaryota; Metazoa; Chordata; Mammalia; Artiodactyla; Balaenopteridae. The transcript has 18 exons. The record is from RefSeq and is a predicted model, not a curated record.
CGGGGCUCGGCUCGGGCUCCGCGGGCGGGCGGGCGGACAUGGCGGCCAACAUGUACCGGGUCGGAGAUUAUGUCUACUUUGAGAAUUCCUCUAGCAAUCCGUACCUCAUCAGAAGGAUAGAAGAACUCAACAAGACUGCAACUGGCAACGUGGAAGCAAAAGUAGUGUGCUUUUAUAGACGACGAGAUAUUUCCAACACGCUUAUAAUGCUUGCAGACAAGCAUGCUAAAGAAAUUGAGGAAGAAUCAGAAACAACAAUUGAGGCUGACCUGACCGAUAAACAGAAACAUCAGUUGAAACAUAGGGAGCUCUUUUUGUCACGCCAGUACGAAUCUCUGCCUGCAACACAUAUCAGGGGGAAAUGCAGUGUUGCCCUUCUGAAUGAGACAGAGUCUGUAUUGUCAUAUCUUGAUAAAGAGGAUACUUUUUUCUACUCAUUGGUCUAUGAUCCUUCAGUGAAGACAUUGUUAGCUGACAAAGGUGAAAUCAGAGUGGGACCUAGAUAUCAAGCAGACAUUCCAGAAAUGCUCUUAGAAGGAGAAUCAGAUGAGAGGGAACAGUCUAAAUUGGAAGUGAAAGUUUGGGACCCAAAUAGCCCACUUACAGAUCGACAGAUUGACCAGUUUUUAGUUGUAGCACGUGCUGUCGGGACAUUUGCUCGAGCCCUUGAUUGCAGCAGUUCUGUAAGGCAGCCUAGUUUGCAUAUGAGUGCAGCUGCAGCUUCUCGAGACAUCACCCUGUUUCAUGCUAUGGAUACGUUGUAUAGGCACAGCUAUGAUUUGAGCAGUGCAAUUAGUGUCUUAGUACCACUUGGGGGACCUGUUUUAUGCAGAGAUGAAAUGGAAGAAUGGUCGGCCUCUGAAGCUAGUUUAUUUGAAGAGGCACUGGAAAAAUAUGGCAAAGACUUCAACGACAUACGUCAAGACUUUCUCCCUUGGAAAUCAUUGACUAGCAUCAUUGAAUAUUAUUACAUGUGGAAAACUACUGACAGAUAUGUGCAGCAGAAACGUCUAAAAGCAGCAGAAGCUGAGAGUAAGCUGAAACAAGUGUAUAUCCCAACUUACAGCAAACCAAAUCCCAACCAAAUAUCCACCAGCAAUGGCAAACCUGGUGCUGUGAAUGGAGCCGUGGGAACUGCAUUCCAGCCGCAGAACCCUCUCCUAGGGCGAGCCUGUGAGAGCUGCUAUGCUACACAGUCUCAUCAGUGGUAUUCUUGGGGCCCACCUAAUAUGCAGUGUAGGUUAUGUGCAACUUGUUGGCUCUAUUGGAAAAAAUACGGAGGCCUGAAAAUGCCCACCCAGUCGGAAGAGGAGAAGUUACCUCCCAGCCCAGCUACAGAGGACCCUCGAGUUCGAAGUCACAUGUCUCGCCAGGCCAUGCAGGGCAUGCCGGUCCGAAACACUGGGAGCCCAAAGUCUGCAGUGAAGACCCGUCAAGCUUUCUUCCUUCACACUACAUAUUUCACAAAAUUUGCUCGUCAGGUCUGCAAAAAUACCCUCCGGCUGCGGCAGGCAGCAAGACGGCCGUUUGUUCCUAUUAAUUAUGCUGCCAUUAGGGCAGAAUAUGCAGACAGACAUGCGGACCUAUCUGGAAGUCCACUGAAAAGCAAAAGCACUAGGAAACCUUUGGCAUGUAUCAUUGGGUAUUUAGAGAUCCAUCCUUCGAAGAAACCUAAUGUAAUUCGAUCUACACCAAGCCUACAAACCCCAACCACCAAGCGGAUGCUAACCACCCCGAAUCACACGUCUCUGAGCAUUUUGGGGAAAAGAAACUACAGUCAUCACAAUGGCCUGGAUGAAAGGCUCAUGAAGUGAAGGCGCAGCUCUGCUCUAUCCUGCAGACCUUCCUCAGGAUGGCGGGAGGCUGUGAAGAAUUCACAUGCUGCGUGUCAGACUGAGCUAUCCCUGUUUAAUCCUAUAAUCCAAGACUUGCUACUCUGUCCUGCUGAUGUUUACGGCCAUGCCACGAGGCAGCCCCUUUCCCAGAGCAUUUCAGUGGGAGACCUCCACGCGCCCCAUGGAGACUCGAUGGGGCAGGGGAAGAGACUGCAGGAGUGUGCGUCCCCAAGGCUGUGUCUCCUCGUGUGAAUCAGUGUCACCUUGCUUUCCUCUCAGAGACCUCGCUGCCCCAGGGGGGACCUGCCUGGGGAAUCGAGGGGCUCGGGGAGCCACUCCGCGUCCCCGCUUCUCCGGCGCUCCGCACCCUGGGCACUGCGGCUCCUGGGGCAGUGGGGCUGCUGCGGGCUCAGAGCCGCUGCUGCCCUGCAUGUGCCAGCUCAGCUCUGUCAUCAGCUGUGUGGAUGUGUACACGAGGGACAUGGCAUCUUUCUGAAUGGAUUUUUCUUAAGAAAUGUGCCAGUGUUUAUGCAGUUCACGAUAUUUCCCCACAUCCUUGCUGUCACUGUCACUCAGCUUUUUCUCAAGAGGCUUCAUUCCCCAUUUUUUUAAUGGGGAAAUUUUUUCCUUCACCCCUUGCGUCCUGUAUUUGACCCCCCCCGCCAAGGUACAGAAUUACCUGCGGUUCUGACAAAACAUAAGAAAGUCAUCUUUGGGAA